RNAcentral lists this ribosomal RNA (273 nucleotides) under uncultured Acinetobacter sp. Its description in RNAcentral is "partial 16S ribosomal RNA". It matches the Rfam family "Bacterial small subunit ribosomal RNA", at positions 524 to 796 of the family's 1533-position model. The record is from RNAcentral. Lineage: Bacteria; Pseudomonadati; Pseudomonadota; Gammaproteobacteria; Moraxellales; Moraxellaceae.
UACAGAGGGUGCGAGCGUUAAUCGGAUUUACUGGGCGUAAAGCGUGCGUAGGCGGCUUUUUAAGUCGGAUGUGAAAUCCCUGAGCUUAACUUAGGAAUUGCAUUCGAUACUGGGAAGCUAGAGUAUGGGAGAGGAUGGUAGAAUUCCAGGUGUAACGGUGAAAUGCGUAGAGAUCUGGAGGAAUACCGAUGGCGAAGGCAGCCGUCUGGCCUAAUACUGACGCUGAGGUACGAAAGCAUGGGGAGCAAACAGGAUUAGAUACCCCAGUAGUCC